GUGCUCACUUUGGCAGCACGUAUACUAAAAUUGGAACGAUACAGAGAAGAUUAGCAUGGCCCCUGCACAAGGAUGACACGCAAAUUCUUGAAGCGUUCCAUAUUUUU
This 107-nucleotide small nuclear RNA is filed under the name Physeter macrocephalus (sperm whale). The record is from RNAcentral. Lineage: Eukaryota; Metazoa; Chordata; Mammalia; Artiodactyla; Physeteridae.